This 468-nucleotide ribosomal RNA is filed under the name uncultured bacterium. RNAcentral describes it as "partial 16S ribosomal RNA". It matches the Rfam family "Bacterial small subunit ribosomal RNA", at positions 28 to 507 of the family's 1533-position model. The record is from RNAcentral.
GACGAACGCUGGCGGCGUGCUUAACACAUGCAAGUCGAACGGAAAGGCCCUGCUUUUGUGGGGUGCUCGAGUGGCGAACGGGUGAGUAACACGUGAGUAACCUGCCCUUGACUUUGGGAUAACUUCAGGAAACUGGGGCUAAUACCGGAUAGGAGCUCCUGCUGCAUGGUGGGGGUUGGAAAGUUUCGGCGGUUGGGGAUGGACUCGCGGCUUAUCAGCUUGUUGGUGGGGCAGUGGCUUACCAAGGCUUUGACGGGUAGCCGGCCUGAGAGGGUGACCGGCCACAUUGGGACUGAGAUACGGCCCAGACUCCUACGGGAGGCAGCAGUGGGGAAUAUUGCACAAUGGGCGGAAGCCUGAUGCAGCAACGCCGCGUGCGGGACGACGGCCUUCGGGUUGUAAACCGCUUUCGCCUGUGACGAAGCGUGAGUGACGGUAAUGGGUAAAGAAGCACCGGCUAACUACGUG